AAGUCGUAACAAGGUUUCCGUAGGUGAACCUGCGGAAGGAUCAUUAACACGUGAUACUCACGUAUUAAACUAAACGCGAAUUUGUUAACAUAAGCCUAUUAUUAGAGUCAAGCUGACUGUUUGGGAAUGGUGUGAUUACGGUGCUUCGCGCAUAGGGUCUAACUUACAGUCUUAGCGUGCUGGACACGCGGUUUGUUCUAAUAAUAGUAGAUACAAUUUCGGCUGCUUAUUAAGCCUGCACCUUGGCUUGCAGUCGGAGUGAAUAUUACUUACCCUUUAUUUCUAUUUAUUCUGAUUUGUACGUUUAUAUGAAUUCCUAGUAGUGUAACAACUAUUGGUUGAGUUUAUAUAGAUGUCGUAUAUUACUAAUACGAAACAACUCUUAGCAACGGAUAUCUUGGUUCUC
RNAcentral lists this unclassified non-coding RNA (406 nucleotides) under fungal sp. RNAcentral's name for it is "partial internal transcribed spacer region". The stretch from base 1 to 46 matches the Rfam family "Eukaryotic small subunit ribosomal RNA", at positions 1786 to 1831 of the family's 1831-position model. Lineage: Eukaryota; Fungi. The record is from RNAcentral.